CAAUUACAACAAUAUUGAUAACAAAGCUUCGUAUUUGCACUCUAACAUGUUGCCUCUAUUUUCAUCACCAUGCUCUCUCCUUUCACAAAUAGGUCCAGAACUUUGAUUGCCAGAAGAAAUGCACUCUAUAGAGCUUUAUGUAAGUGGUAGAAAG
Long non-coding RNA from Rhodamnia argentea, 154 nucleotides. RefSeq lists it as uncharacterized. The record is from RefSeq and is a predicted model, not a curated record. NCBI's taxonomy places the organism in Eukaryota, Viridiplantae, Streptophyta, Magnoliopsida, Myrtales, Myrtaceae. The transcript is spliced from 3 exons.